AGUAGCAGUCUGUUUGUGCACACACCCCAUUGACAGAUAGGGUUGAGUAGCCCCAUCUGGCUGGCUGGAUCCCCAUAUAGUGUACUGUGUUCUCCAAAGCUGCUCCAUUGGCAGUAAGGAUGCCUUUCUUCUUACAUAAAGGAGGGUGAUACCAAGGUCAAGGACAUAUAAGUACCUGUGUUCAACAACUAGACUCUCUACCCAAGUCAACACCUCGGAAACUGAACACCUGCCAUGUACUAGGCUGCGUGCAGUUAGUCGCUUUUGGGUAAAUACAUAUCAACAAGUACUGUGUACAUGUUAAUUAU
This 308-nucleotide small RNA is filed under the name Pteropus vampyrus (large flying fox). RNAcentral's name for it is "7SK RNA (ENSPVAG00000028302.1)". The record is from RNAcentral. Lineage: Eukaryota; Metazoa; Chordata; Mammalia; Chiroptera; Pteropodidae.